CGAUUUGGCGGACGGGCGAGUAAUGUAUCGGAACGUGCCCAGUAGCGGGGGAUAACAGGCCGAAAGGUCAGCUAAUACCGCAUACGCCGUUCGGGGGAAAGGGGGGGAUUGUUCGGAACCUAUCACUAUUGGAGCGGCAGAUAUCGGAUCAGCUAGUUGGUGAGGUAAUGGCUCACCAAGGCGACGAUCAGUAGUUGGUUUGAGAGGACGACCACCCACCCCGGGAGUGAGACACGGCCCAGCCUCCUACGGGAGGCAGCAGCGGGGAAUUUUGGACAAUGGGGGAAACCCUGAUCCACCCAUCCCGCGUGUGCGAUGAAGGCCUCCGGGUUGUAAAGUUCUGUCCUAUGGGACGAAGAAAGUGACGGUACCAUAGGAGGAAGCCCCGGCUAACUACGUGCCAGCAGCCGCGGUAAUAAU
This 420-nucleotide ribosomal RNA is filed under the name uncultured Alcaligenes sp. Its description in RNAcentral is "bacterial SSU rRNA". It matches the Rfam family "Bacterial small subunit ribosomal RNA", at positions 91 to 526 of the family's 1533-position model. Lineage: Bacteria; Pseudomonadati; Pseudomonadota; Betaproteobacteria; Burkholderiales; Alcaligenaceae. The record is from RNAcentral.